RNAcentral lists this long non-coding RNA (1242 nucleotides) under Macaca mulatta (Rhesus monkey). Its description in RNAcentral is "lncRNA (ENSMMUG00000051127.1)". Lineage: Eukaryota; Metazoa; Chordata; Mammalia; Primates; Cercopithecidae. The record is from RNAcentral.
UAAGUUAAUAUAAAAUAUAUUUUAAUAAUAAAAUAUAAGUUAGGAUUUAAGAGUGUAUUAAAUAUAGGAAAACUGUAUUAAAUAUAUGAAAAGAGCCAAGUUAAAUAACAGCUACAUUCAAUUUUUGUAAACCGGUAAGAGAUUCCUGCACUAUUUACAUAUAUCAAAUGGGACUAAAUGUUUAAAUGGAAUUCCUGAAACUUUUCAAGUUCUACUAUCAGUGAUGAAAUAAGAAGUCAGUUGGCCGGGCGUGGUGGCUCAUGCCUGUAAUCCCAGCACUUUGGGAGGCUGAGGUGGGCGAAUCAUGAGGUCAGGAGAUCGAGACCAUCUUGUCUAACAUGGUGAAACCCCAUCUCUACUAAAAAUACAAAAAAAUUAGCCGGGUUUGGUGGCAGGCGCCUGUAGUCCCAGCUACUUGGGAGGCUGAGGCAGGAGAAUGACGUGAACCCGGGAGGCAGAGCUUGCCAGUGAGCCAAGAUCGCACCACUGGGCGACAGAGCCAGAAUCCAUCUCCAAAAAAAACCACAAGUCAGUUAAAGUGAAUACUACGUAAAUAAUUCUGAGUACACGUUGAGGCAGGCACCUACUCUGGAAAGGUAUGAAAAAAGAAAUAUAUGCUUGUUACCUGUCUGAGGUUGAUGCCUCUGGUUCCAGCAUAAGGGCUUUCUUUGAGUGGUUUGCCAUAAGGUAGGUCUAAGAAGUUGGAUCCUACCUCAAAAGACCUUAAUCUCAUGUCUCUUAGGACAUUCUCUCAUCAAGAAAUUCUAUUUCUAUUAUUGCAGAUUCUAAAUUGCUAGCAAGUCUGGUUACAUUUUUUGGACAGAGAAUCUUUAGGUGUUUUUUUGUUACUGUGGUUGUUGUUUUGGUUUGCUGCUUGAUUCUCUUUUGAUUUGUUUUAUUUAUUUAUUUACUUAUUUUCCUCUUACAUUUAUUUCUGCAGACUAUGUUACCUGGACUUUCCAGAUAUAAAUUCCUGUUUGGCUGAGGGAUGGAUCCUCAUGCUCUUCUUGUCUCAGAAGGUUUCCCAAUUCCAACAAACUACUAUAGGCACUACCAAAGGCAUAAUUUGACAGCAGACACUUAUAUUGAAGGCCUCAAUAAGAAAAAAAUACUUAUACUCAAUGAGCAUGUGAAUUCACUUCUUCUACUGCCAUUAACUAUAUGGAAGUUCAUUCAAUUAUGACCCAGUGUUGAUCCAGUAGAAGAGCUAACCAAGCAGGAUGCCUUUCCUCGAGCAGAGCU